Long non-coding RNA from Ipomoea triloba (trilobed morning glory), 1359 nucleotides. RefSeq lists it as uncharacterized. The transcript has 3 exons. The record is from RefSeq and is a predicted model, not a curated record. Lineage: Eukaryota; Viridiplantae; Streptophyta; Magnoliopsida; Solanales; Convolvulaceae.
GAAAAAAACUUCCCUCCCAACUCACAAACACUCAGCUCACAAAGUCUCAGCUCACAAAUUCUCGCACUGCUCCCUCGUCUCAAACAAGAAAAGCUCUGCCGUCCCUCGCCAUCUCAGCCCUCCGGUCUCCCUCCGUCGCUCCUCCACCAAUGUCGCCUCUCCCAGCCGCUGCCGCCGUCGAGACCGGGCACCCUCUUCUCGACUCUGCUGCCGUCGAGACUCUUCCCGCCUCUGCUGCCGUUGAGACUCUUCCCGCCUCUGCCGCCAUCGACACUCUCCCCGUCGCCUCGCUAGUCGUUGUCUCUACCACCGUCACAGGUUAGUCCUCAAAUCUAAAACCCUAAUCCCUAAAUUCCUAAUUCCAUUUAUCCCUAUCUCAUAAUUUCAUUAAGCCCUAAAUCGAUAUGUUUUUCUUACUAUGUAAUUUUAUUGGUGAAAGUAAAUGGCUUAGAGCUCUACUUUGGCUUUCCUGUGACACUUUUAGUCUUACCAAUUAAAAAUGGAUAGAUGUGCAGUAUAAAUGCAUCGUAUUACCUGAAGCCGUUCAUGUUUAUUAUCACCUGUUGAGAUUAAAGACUAAUUUAACUAUUUGAUGUUAUUUGGCAAAGGAAAUUUAACAGCUUGCUAUUAGUUCGUAUGAUAUUUCUUCUUUGUUUAUUAAGAUUUUUGGUCUUAUUAUUGUUUUGUAGCUGCAAUCUAUUAUGCACAAGCCUCAUAAGUGAAGAUGUCUUUGUGGUAGAUAUAUUGCUCUCUACUAGCUUUUUUCAGGGUUAUAAAUGUCUGCAAAUGAAGUUUUGAAUUCAGAUACCCCUGAGUAUGAGAGAAUCCAGUGGUCACACUGUUGGUGUUGAUUGUUUGCCUGAGGAGAUGAAUGGCAUGAAAAUCAGGGAUGAUAAGGAUAUGGAAGCAGCAGUUGUUGAUGGUAAGUAUUGGUGGUCUAAAUGGUCAACCAAAACAGAUCCAUGAAAUGGCAGUGGUCUCUGCUGUACAAGCUCAGCAGGUUCAUAUCUAACUAUCUAAGCAUCUUAUUAUGCAGUUACUAUGUUUAGACUUUCCACCUUAUUUGUUCUUUCCCCCGUUUUACAGUGUAUCUAUGAAUCUAUUAUACUCUAAAGAUAAAUAACUUGUUAAGUAAUAAUGUAAUUGGAAAUUACAUUAAUCUCUGUAAGAGUUGAUGUAAGAGAUGCUUGAGAAACAACAAUGUUAUAUAAAUUGUAUGUAUGAUGCAUCAUGCAAAGAUAUAGUACGAGAACUAAGGCUGAAGAAUACCGUGAAUUCGUGAUAGUUUGCCAAUUUUCUGUUUUCAUGUGUUCUCAAGUCAAGUAACUUUAGCUUUGUGUUAUCUGAUUUUGGUGUAGG